RNAcentral lists this ribosomal RNA (397 nucleotides) under Zebragryllus nouragui. RNAcentral describes it as "partial 12S ribosomal RNA". The record is from RNAcentral. Lineage: Eukaryota; Metazoa; Arthropoda; Insecta; Orthoptera; Gryllidae.
UAUUAUUUACUGUAUAGAAAAAUGGCCGGAGUAGUAGUAGUUAUGAUCUUGAAACUCAAAGAAUUUGGCGGUGUUUUAGUCCUUUCAGAGGAAUUUGUCCUGUAAUUGAUAUUACACGAUUUAUGAUACUUAGUUUGGUUAGUCAGUUUAUAUACCGCCGUCGUAAGAUUAUCUUGUGGAGAGAGGGAAUUUUCCUUGUGUGGGAUUUCAUUUAUGUCAGGUCAAGGUGUAGCUAAUAAUUAAGGAGAGAUGGGUUACAAUAAAUUUAUUUAUUAUGGAUAAUUAUGAUUAAAGUUUGAUUUGAAGGUGGAUUUGAUUGUAAAUUAAUUGAAAUUGAUUUUUUGAUUGUGGCUCUAAAACGUGCACACAUCGCCCGUCGCUCUCGUUUUAAGAUGAG